This 480-nucleotide ribosomal RNA is filed under the name uncultured bacterium. Its description in RNAcentral is "partial 16S ribosomal RNA". It matches the Rfam family "Bacterial small subunit ribosomal RNA", at positions 355 to 853 of the family's 1533-position model. The record is from RNAcentral.
UGGGGAAUAUUGGACAAUGGGGGCAACCCUGAUCCAGCCAUGCCGCGUGAGUGAUGAAGGCCUUCGGGUUGUAAAGCUCUUUUGGCGGGGACGAUGAUGACGGUACCCGCAGAAUAAGCCCCGGCUAACUUCGUGCCAGCAGCCGCGGUAAGACGAAGGGGGCUAGCGUUGUUCGGAAUUACUGGGCGUAAAGCGAGUGUAGGCGGUUGCCGUAGUCAGGUGUGAAAGUCUUGAGCUCAACUCAAGAAAUGCACUUGAUACUGGGUGACUAGAGGACCGGAGAGGAUAGUGGAAUUCCCAGUGUAGUGGUGAAAUACGUAGAGAUUGGGAAGAACACCAGUGGCGAAGGCGGCUAUCUGGACGGUUACUGACGCUAAGACUCGAAAGCGUGGGGAGCAAACAGGAUUAGAUACCCUGGUAGUCCACGCCGUAAACGAUGGGUGCUAGACGUUGGCGAGCUUGCUCGUCAGUGUCGCAGCU